Molecule: long non-coding RNA, 13663 nt
Filed under: Lactuca sativa (garden lettuce)
Lineage: Eukaryota; Viridiplantae; Streptophyta; Magnoliopsida; Asterales; Asteraceae
Description: long non-coding RNA (LSAT_LNC006135)
Source: RNAcentral
GACUUUUGAAUUUGCUUUGAAUUUGUAUUUUCUUCCUCGUUGUCACUAUCAUCCGUUUGACUCUCAUGUAUUUCCACAUAUUCCAUAUCACAAACUUUCGAAGUUGAGGGUUUAUCAGUUUCAUUUUUCAUUAAUAAAUCGUCACAUUUUUCUUUCCCUUUAUAUGAAUUUGCAACAUUUAUGACAGACAACUGUGAACAAUCUACAUCUUCUAAAUCACUAAUUUCACUAAUAUUAUUAGAAUUAUCUUCAAUAUCAGCAAUAUUAGUUUCACUAUUAGAUGUAGAAUUCUCAGUCUUUUUCAAAAUUCGAAGUUGUUCUGAUUUGGUGAAGGUUUCAUUUACAAUUUUUACUAAAUCAUCAGCAUCAAGAUAAUCUUCGACUUUUGCAAUUCCAUAUCUAAACCAAUCAUCUGGGACUUUGUUAAAAUCAGAAAUUUGUUUUUCACAAUCAUAUGAAAUACUAUCAACCUUAGCUCUAUCAUAAGCUAAAAAAGGUAGUAAUUUUCUAUGUUGUUCCUUAUUUAUUUCACAUGAAUGAUGUAACUCAGUUAAUUUUCCAUACAAUCUUUUUGCUGAAUUACAAAAAAUAUUUCUUUGAGCUAACAACAGGUUUAUUUCUUUUGCUAAUUUUUCUCUAUCCUCCAUGAUAUUUGAAACUUGCAAUUCUAAGUAAUCAAUCGUAGUGACUUUUGAAUCCAACAUUUUUCUUGUCUCUAGUAAUUGAUCACUUAACUUUUUCGCUUCAUUGCUAGCAGACACAAUGAUUGAAUCAAAGUAAGUAACAGUUUCAUCAAAAGAUACUAGCUCAGAAUUAUAUGCAGAAACUGGAAUGUUAAAAGAUUCAAGAAUGUUACGUACCUUGGUAGUCAUGGGCGACUUGUCAGUAGACUUCGAAACGAAGCAUUGCCCACACACUUCGUCAGUCUGUUCAUCAUCUGAAUCCUCUUCCAUUUUUGCAUACAUGGCUCCAUGAGUUGGAUUUUUCAUCUCUUCAUCAUCUGAACCCGAAGACCAUAUUUGAUAUGUUCCAUCUGAUUCAUUUUCUCCAUGAGCCACCAAUGACAAAUUCUUCGCUUUCUUCUUUACUUCUUCCAGUUUCUCAGUGUAGUAAGCUUCAUCCUUUGUUUUANNNNNNNNNNNNNNNNNNNNNNNNNNNNNNNNNNNNNNNNNNNNNNNNNNNNNNNNNNNNNNNNNNNNNNNNNNNNNNNNNNNNNNNNNNNNNNNNNNNNNNNNNNNNNNNNNNNNNNNNNNNNNNNNNNNNNNNNNNNNNNNNNNNNNNNNNNNNNNNNNNNNNNNNNNNNNNNNNNNNNNNNNNNNNNNNNNNNNNNNNNNNNNNNNNNNNNNNNNNNNNNNNNNNNNNNNNNNNNNNNNNNNNNNNNNNNNNNNNNNNNNNNNNNNNNNNNNNNNNNNNNNNNNNNNNNNNNNNNNNNNNNNNNNNNNNNNNNNNNNNNNNNNNNNNNNNNNNNNNNNNNNNNNNNNNNNNNNNNNNNNNNNNNNNNNNNNNNNNNNNNNNNNNNNNNNNNNNNNNNNNNNNNNNNNNNNNNNNNNNNNNNNNNNNNNNNNNNNNNNNNNNNNNNNNNNNNNNNNNNNNNNNNNNNNNNNNNNNNNNNNNNNNNNNNNNNNNNNNNNNNNNNCCUAUUUAUAGGAGUACAAAAGCAUAACAAAAUACUAAGGACUAGACAUUAAGACUAUUCAAUAAAAUGCCUUAGUAAAUAUAACAUUACAUCCGAAGACUCUACUUACGAAGACUAGAGAUCCUUCGUAACAACAAAACUAACACUUCGACUUAUUACAACAUUUAUACCCUAACAAUCUCCCCCUUUGGAAUAAAGGUCGAAGUCUUCAUGAAGUUAGUAGUUGAACAGCAUACAUCAGCACUCUUCGGAUUUCCAUGUACCAAGAGAUAACUUUCUUUAUCUCCUUCUUGUCUCCUUCUGAAUUCUUCUUGCAAUGAUUCAUACGAACAAUUAAGUUCGUAUAUUGCGAAUUUGUAUAUCUCUCCACUUCAGAAGUUUGAAACAAGAAUCUUUUAGCUCUUCCAGCUUUAUCUUUUCCUGCAAAGACAAUCCCCAAUGGCUUUAAACAUAUUUCACCGUCUUCGUACUUUUUCAACUCAACCUGCUUCUUCGUAGGAGCCAUUGGUGCUGUAAUGUCGAUGCCUUUAACAGUAGCAAGUUCGACAUCGGUUUGAGCUAAGCACUCGAAAUAAUUCUCCAAGAAAAUUUUUAUGUGCCUACACCCAAGACUGAAGACAUCUGGUUCUGUUUCUUGGAGGAAAGAAAAGGACUUGUCUUUAAGUAUCAGAGCAACAUUGAUGAGAUCAUAAGUGUUCAUCAAUGGAAAGUCCGCCACAGUGAACUCUUGUAUCUUUCCACUUGCUCUUGUCACAACAUAUUUCAAAUUCUGAAACUUUCCUUCGAAAAUAACAUCCCUUUUUAUGGAUAUCACCUUCUUAAUCUUUUCCAAGAACCAAAUUUCUUCUUGAGCCUUUGCUAACACUGCAUGAAAUCGAAUUUUCAUCUUCUUUCCCUCUUCGACAUCCAUAGACUUUGUUUCUGCUUUGAACUGUGGCAUAACGAACAUCAUCUCGUUGAUUGGAAAAUCAAGUUGACCAUAAUCAAUAUUUUUCACCACAAAACUCCUCUUUGGAAUCUUUUCAAACGAGUACAUAUGAUCGAACAUCACCCUUGAUUCAAUAGUUUCGUAAUUUUAUACUUUCGAAGGAUCUCCCUUAUCAACAUUCGAUCCUUCAAGAGCUCUCUGACGCAUAAUACUUUAAACAUGCCUCAUUCUUUCAACUUCAGCUGCCACCUCAGCUUUUAUCUCUUUGUUAAUCUUCUCAACCUAGACUCUUUUUCCUUUAUCUUUAACAUUCGAAGGAGCUGCAUUCUUUGACGAAGAUACAUUUGAAGAAAUAACAUUCUCAAUUACAAUACCUUUUGUAAUAGGUCUUGAAAUUGGAACAGUUGUAGUCACAGUCGAAAUGACUGGAGCAGCUGAAACUAUUGUUGGUUUAACCACAACUUUCGAAGGAUAAACUUUUCCUACCACCUUCGAAUCUUCAGAUAUCUUCUCAUGUUCCCCAGCCUUUGCUUGACCAACCUUUUCUCCCCCUUGCACCCCUGUGACAGCAGGUGGGGCAUCUGAUACGUUCGGCAAAAGGCUUGAAAGUCUAAGCAAUGGAGUAAGGUGUUUUUGUAGGAUGGCUUCGAAAUGAAUGAAUUUCUGAGAAAGAAAUUCUUGAGAGAUAAUCGGAGAAGAUGAUUUCGAAGAUAUUUCUUUGAGUUCAUUCAGCAGCUUCAUCAACUCUCCAAAAUGUUGUUCUUCUGUGGUUGAAAGAGAGAUAAUCUGUGGAUUUAGUUGUUCGAACAUCUUAACACACUGAACAACCGCAUCACAAAUGAUAUCGAUCUUCUGAUGUGCUGAUUCAUACCCCUGUUGAAUAUGCUGAACUUCCUUCGUCAUUUCUUCACGAAGUUCACGAAUCUGCAUAUUAACGUCUUCUCGAACCUUCUUAACUUCCUGUACGAAGAGCACAUGACGCUCCUUCGUAACUGUCUUUAAAUCCUUCACCUCAUUCAGAAAAUCAGAUCUCAGAGAAUUGAUUCUAUUCUCUGUAGAACUAUCAGUCUGAUCAGUCUUCUCAAGAAUGCGGCUUUCAGAAUCACGUAGUAACCCUGAUGCCUUCGAAAUCACCCUGAUUUCCAUUUUCUUCAUAACAGAAUCGACUUCCAUGAUAUUAAUUCCAGCACUUCCCACAUCUGCUUGAGAUUGCAAGAUAGAAUUCAAUAUCUUGAACUGCUUCAUCGUCAUCAGCAUAUGGUCAGGAAAAUCUUCUUCAGCUUUAUCAAAGGAAAGAGCUUCGAAUGUUCCUCCAAACCCUUCGUUGUCUGUUUCCUCAUCAAUAGCCAUUGUUUCAGCAACAGGUGAUGAUGGAUUUGGUGGUUCGGUUGAUUGUGUAGAGAAUAUGGUGGUUAAAGGUUGAUCCAUUAUAGAUUGGAAUGUUGGAGAAUCAGUUGUUGAAGUAACCUGUGGUAAAGACGUUGGUUCAAGGAUCUUUAUGUCAGCAGGCUUCAAAAUCUCAGUAAACUUAAGAAAUUCUACUUCUUUUGGAAUUUCAUUUUCGGGAGUCUCAGGAACUUGAUCCACUUCUUCGAUUCGUUGGGUUUUCUUCAAAAAUUUCUCCAUAUCUUCAGCCCUUCGCUUUUUAGAAGAUGGAGACACCGGAGCUGGAAUUUCUCGAACGGUAACCCCUUGAUGAGUAACCUGAGUUUUCUUCACCAACUGAGAUUUUCGCUUGAUUUUUAUUCUUCGAAAAACCCCCGUCUUCGAAGGAAUCGUUUCUUUAGAUGGAGAGGCUUCAAUAACCGGUGUAUCAGCCACUGAGGUUAAAACCGGAGACACCUCUUCGACAUUUCGAGAUGUAACGAUUAGCUCCUGAUUCUUUUGUUCUUCUUUCACCCCUUUUUCCGAAGAGUCACCCUCUGUCUUCUUUGACUUCUUCGACUUCUUCUUCUCUUCUUGUUGUAAUAUUCCAGUCACAACGGUUGUGUCAAUGGAUUGUAAGUAUGACACCAACACAUUAUUCGUGGGAUCCACCUUCUUUAGCAUUGCAUCCGGAAUGCGAGCAACUGUGGUAAAGAUAGCUGGAUCAUCAUGUACCUCCUUCGGACUCCCGUACAUGUGGAAAACAGCUUUCUCUUCGUAAUCAGGAACUUCGAUCUUCUCCUUCUGAUAGACAUAUUGGACUAUCAAACUCCAAUAUCUUGCACAUGGAAUCCCCUGCUUAGCACUGGUCUUCGAAAUACUUGUUAUGAACUCUGUCCAUAACUGCUCUGAGUAAUUAACUUGUAAAUCGUAGUAUAGCCCAGCUACCAUUGCAUAGACCUCCAUCCUUCCUUUAUCCAACCCCACAUUUCUUCCAGUAAGACAUCUAAGAAAGAUGCCAAACAAAAAGUUCCAAAUUGUUGGUAACCCCGACUUCUUGAAGUCACUAAUACGUGUCAAUGGAGGUUGGUGACCCAUCUCAUUGAACAUAUACACCACUUGCGAAGAAGUAAGUUCAUCAUACGGGCCAGAAUUCGGAAUUCCCAAAAUCUUGCAAAACAACCUCUUUGAGACCCUAAUUCUUGUAUCUGUGACCAUUGUGAAUUCAACACAUCCAGUCUCCUUGUUGUAUGAUGCCGUAGAACCUGCUUUUGACAACCAGGACAUUGGAGCAGCAAAAGAUUCAAACAUUGCUUUAGACAUAACAGAAUUCUGUAAAGCAACCACAAGCAUGUGUAGUUCUUCCGGAUAUUUUGACAAAUCCGAUUCGACUUGAUAGUUGGAACCCUGGAUCUUCAGAAUCGGAACACUGAUGAUCUCGUCUGUUGUUGGUGAUGAAGUAGUCGCCAUUGAAGAUGAUUUUGAGAAAAGAACUUAUGAAGAAGAUGAAUUGCACAGAGAAUUUUGUGUUUCUGAGAGUUGGAUCGCGUAAAGUCUUAUGGAGUUCUGAUUUGCCCUUUUAUAUGUAACCCUAGAAUUUUGAAUUUGAAGCGGGAUACAAUAAAUGCUUGCUGACAUGGCACCUUGAAAUCCGGAAUGUACUCAUCAAAAAGUAACAAUCGUAACUGUCAACACGCCUUACACGCUUAUCAUACACCAUGCGUCAUCAAGAGAUAGGACUGUUUGGUAUUCCCCAAAAGAAUUGUAACCGUCGGAUGCCUUCGGAAUUGAGGUCAGGCUCUUUCACUUUGGGGUUUAAAAAGCGAAGUCAUUUGCCAGAAUUUCGAAAUCGUCAGUUUAAGUUGGUGUUACUCAAACCUCAAGGAUUUCGUGUGUGCUGUGUUCCAAAAGAAAUUAGAUGAGAAACAAGGAAAAAAAAAACUUUUGAAAACUUGUGAUGUCAACAAUUUCUUUGUGACACAAAAACAAUUUUAUCCCAGGCAAAGAUAUCUUCGAAAAUUAUCAAGAGAGAUAAUUAACAGCUUGUUUGGUUUCCCGUGAAUUACAAUCGAUAACUUGUAGAGAAGUUUCCAAGGGUUUCUUUUAUAUGACAAAUGGGUGGCUUCGAAAAUUUCGUUACGUAUCAACCUUAAAAUAAGGUGAGGAAUUGUAAACAAAAUUAGUUGUAUGACCAGUGUAGUCAGUGACAACUUGGUUGCGAAUGAUAUUCAAAGUAACUAGUAUUUUAAAAAUAUACUCACACAGAAAUCAUAUUCAUAAAAAAAACAUUUAUGCUGGAUCUUUUUGGGAACAAACAUCGUAGUUUUCGAAUGUUUGAUUAAGAUCACUCAAAAGAAAUGAAUAUGAUUUGGAGUAUAAAAGGUACUGAAACAAAUGUUUCGUAAGAUCUGGAAUAUGGUUCCCCGUCAAUUCCUUAAGGUUUAUGGUAUUUUGGGUUUCACUACUAUCACGGACUCAUGAUAUUAGAUCAUAAACACAGAUUUGUGAUUUGUCUAGGUUUUGAUUGGUUUGAUCAAAUACCUCAAGGACAAAUCUUCGAAUAUUUGGAAUGUAAGAAUUGUUUGGUUUAAAAAGAUUGGUUAAGAAUCGAAGGGUACCUCUGUUAUAUUUGGACAAAACAGAAAACUCUUAACUCAUUUGAGAAGAGUAAGGUAGCUCUUGUUGAUUUAUGCAAAUAGAAGCCUUGUUGGGUAGAAAUUUUCAUGAGAUAAUUUCAUCAAGGCUUUCAUCUCUCACACAUAGAAUCAUUCGAGGCUUGAGACAACAUGCAGCAGCAUGCUUCUAGGGACAUCCUAACUAAUCCAAAAUGCAUAGAGAUCAUACCUUUCCUCCAAACGCAUGAAUCCUUCGUAUUUGAAACUUGACAAAACUCACAAUACACAUGUUAAAACUAAAAAAAAUGAAAAAUAUUUUUGGUAUUUUUGUAAUUUUUCAAAAAAAAGUAAAGUCAAACUAAACCAAAAUCUUUUUGGAUUUCUAAUUUUUCAAUAAAAGAAAAUAGUUUUGAUUUUUUCAAGUUUUUCAUAAAAAAAAUUAACAAACUAAAAAGCUAACCUUAGUUGAAAUGUGUACAAAUACGAAGCAUUCGAACCGUUGACUUGAACAGUAACCUCUGAUUAUCUACUUCAAAACUUCCGAAUGCGAAGCGUUCGAAGCGUUGACCAUGAAUAGUAACCUCUGAACACUGAAUCAUCCUGUUCAUUCGUACGCCAAAUGAUUCAGACCCAUCACUCUUCGCUUUUAUUAGUUUGAAGAGAAUUUCCAUCUAUCAUUCCCAAUCCAUCUAAGAUCCGAAGAAAUGAUUUUUCAUCCAAAGCCUUUGUAAAAAUAUCUGCCAAUUGUUCCGUUGUUUUUACAAAAUGAACUUCAACAUUUCCUUCUUCAACAUGAUCUUUGAUGAAAUGAUAUCGAAGAGCAAUGUGUUUGGUCUUUGUAUGCUGCACAGGAUUAUGACAAAUUCUUAUUGCACUUUGUGAAUCACAAUAUAAAGGAAUCUUUUUCAUAUUAAUUGCAUAAUCUCUUAAUUGAAUUUGAAUCCAUAUUAUUUGUAAUGUACACGCAGCUGAAGCAACAUAUUCAGCUUCCNAGCUUCAGCGGUUGAUAUUGAAACACAUGUUUGCUUCUUCGAUUGCCAGCUGACCAGCUUUCCAUCUAGCAAUUGACACCCACCAGUUGUGCUUUUACGAUCAAGACUGCAUCCUCCAAGAUCCGCAUCCGAAUAAGCUUGUACAAAGAACCCUGUUUUCGAAGGAUACCACAAUCCUAACGAAAUAGUGCCUUUCAAAUAUCGGAAAAUAUUCUUUACUGCUGUGAGAUGGGAUUCACGUGGAUUUGAUUGAUACCUUGCACAAUUACAAACAGAAUACAUAAUAUCAGGUCUACUUGCAGUUAAAUACAAUAAAGACCCAAUCAUGCUUCGAUACAAAGUAAUAUCAACAGCAGAUUUAUCUAACGAAGGAGUUAGCUUUAUGCCCGUUGCCAUUGGUAUUCGUAACCUUGUGCUAUUCGUCAUGCCAAACUUUUCCAACAAAUUCUUCAUAUAUCUCUCUUGAUUAAUAAAGAUGCCUUCCCUGUUUUGACGAAUAUUCAAACCCAAAAAGUUAUUAAUUUUACCCAUCAUACUCAUUUCAAAUUUGCUUUUCAUCAGAUCUUCGAAUUCUUUAGAUAAAGCAGGGUCAGUUGAGCCAAAAAUUAUAUCAUCAACAUAAAUUUGAACAAGCAUCAGAUGAUUUCCAAUUUUCUUUCGAAAUAAAGUAGGAUCAACUGAGCCUUGUUUAAAUUUAGAUUGUUUCAAAAAUGAUGUUAGAGUUGCAUACCAUGCUCUUGGUGCUUGUUUUAACCCAUAUACAGCUUUAUCUAAAAUAUAAACAUGAUCAGGAUGCUCUGAGUUUAUAAAACCUGGAGGUUGUUCAACAUAUACCGUUUCUUCGAGUUCUCCAUUUAAGAAUGCACAUUUGACAUCCAUUUGAUAGACAUCAAAAUCUUUAUGAGCUGCAAAAGCCAGAAAAAUACGAACAGCCUCGAGUCUUGCGACAGGGGCAAAUGUUUCUUCGUAAUCAAUUCCUUCUUGUUGAGAAUAUCCUUUAACAACAAGUCUGGCCUUAUUUCGAAUAAUGUUUCCAUCUUUGUCAGUUUUGUUUUUAUAAAUCCAUUUAAGUCCAACAACUGACACAUCAUCAGGUUUUGGAAUUAAUCUCCAAACCUUGUUUCUUUCGAAUUCAGACAAUUCAGCUUGCAUAGCAACAACCCAAUCAGAGUGUUCCAUUGCAAUCUUAACUGUCUUUGGUUCGAUUUUGGAAAUAAAAACAUGAAACAUGCAGAACUCUUGAUGAUUGUUCAGUACCUCAUUUCGUGCAUGAAGUUGUGCUCUUGUCAUGAUUCCUGCUUGUGGAUCACCAAGAAUUUGAUCUUUUGGAUGAUUUCUUGUCCAUUUAUCCAAUGGUGGAUAAUUAGGAUCAAAAUCCAAAAGUGCAUCUUCGAACAUUACAUCUGUUUCUGAUCCAUUUAUAGAAAUAGAAUCAUCAGCAUCAUCAAAAUGUUCUUCUUCAAGAAUUGGAUCAUUCUCUAGUAUGAGCUCCCCCUCGAUGAUUGACUCCGUUUCGAUAUUUUGCUCUGGUUCACUGAUCGGUUCUUCUUCAAGAAUUUGCUCCUCUUCGACACUAACAUUUGUUGACAUGUUAUCUCUUUCACUAUAACGCUCCCCCUCAACAAAAGUAUUUGAAUCCAAGUGCUCCCCCUCCACUGGAUCAUCAGCUUGUUCAUUUGGGUUUUGAUUCAAAUUCGAAGUUGAAUCAUUGUUAUACUUCGAAUUUUCUGAUGUUUGAUUAUCAGUUGCAUUUCUUUCUGCAUCAAUUGUUUGUUCUGAAAUACCGAAAAUCAAAUCAUAAUCAACAUCAUCCAUUUCAAUUGAAUCAUCUAUAUUUGAAUAAUUUUGUAAAAUUGGAUAAUUUGCAAAUUUAUGACUAGACUUUUUAAUGUAUUGAUCAUCAAAUGUCAAAUUAAAAGUUUCUUCCACUUUACGAGUUCGCUUAUUUAACACUCUAUAAGCAACUGAAUUGUGUGAAUAUCCCAAGAAAAUUCCUUCAUCUGCUUUUGUUUGAAACUUCGAAAGAUUAUCCUUAAGAUUCAUUAUGAAACACCUGCAUCCAAAAACAUGGAAAAAUUUGACAUUAGGUUUUCGAUUAUUGAUGAUUUCAUAAGGAGUAACAUUAAACCGUCUAUGAAUAAAUGAUCGAUUUUGAGUAAAACACGCAGUUGAAACAGCUUCAGCCCAAAGAUAUUGAGGUAAAUUCGAAAAUGCCAACAUUGUUCUUGCAGCUUCACAUAAUGAUCGAUUUCUUCUCUCAACUACACCAUUUUGUUGUGGUGUAUAAGGAGAUGAAAAAUUAUGCGAAAUUCCUUUUUCCACCAGAAAUGUAUCGAAGACAUGAUUUUUGAAUUCAGUUCCAUGAUCACUUUUAAUUUUUCGAACUGUCUUCUUCAAUGAAACUUCCAUCUUUUUGAUAAAAUCAAUCAUCAUUUGUGGAACUUCGGAUUUUAACCUGAGAAAAUAAACCCACGUGAAUCUUGAAAAAUCAUCUACUAUUACCAAAAUGUACAUUUUCUUGUUAAGAGUAGCAACUGUUGAAGGACCACAUAAAUCUAUAUGCAAGAGUUCAAGGGGUUCAACAAUCUUCGAAUCUAUUGUGAUUGGAUGACCUUGUUUGUGUUGUUUCCCUACUUCGCAAGCUGCACACAAACUGUCAUUAUCAUAUUUAAGAAUGGGUAAACCUCUUACCAGAUCUUGUAUGACAAGUUUGUUGAUGUUUCGAAAAUUGAGAUGUGAUAAUCUCCUGUGCCAUAACCAGCUAACAUCAGCAGCAGCCUUCGAAAGUAGACACACAGCAGGUUUGCCUACAAUAGGAACAAUAUCCAAUGUAAACAUAUCACCUUUUCUUUUUGACUUAAGUAAAACUUCCUUAGUCUUGACAUUCGAAAUGACACUUCCUUCUUCAUUAAAAAGAACUUGAUUGCCAGUGCCCACAACAAGUUGUGAAACACUUAUCAAGUUGUGUUGCAAACCUUCAACAAAUGCAACUCUGUUGAUAGUGAAAUUUCCAUUCGUUAUCUUCCCAUAACCCUUGACUUUGCAUUUGUGAUUAUUACCAAACUUAACCACUCCUCCAUUUUCUAGGCUUCGAAAAUCACGCAAGUUUUCCUUCUUCCCAGUCAUGUGACGUGAGCAACCGCUAUCAAUAUACCACUUGUUAUCAUAUUGCUCGUCACAAAGUACCUGCAAUCAUUGGAAAAAUUUAGGUACCCAAGCUUUGUUGGGUCCAUUCAUAUUAGGUUUGUGAUUCAAUUGUAAAGUACAACCAUUAACCCAAUCAUAUACUUUGGUUUUGAAACUGUCAAUAAAUCUAACAUUUUCAUUCGAAGGGUCAGAUAUAUGAGUUUUUAUUAUUUUCAAAUUUUCACUAAUUUCACCCUUCGCAUCUUGAGUUUGUGAUUUUUCACUUUUUGCUCUUGUGACCGGCUGCCAAACUUUAACUGAUAUAUUUGACUCUUUGGAUGAUGAACUACCAUUCGUUGAAGGAUUAGCAUAUUUGUCAUACGCCUCAUGUAUCUGUUCUUUCGAAAACUUACUUGAUUGGUAUAUCUUUCCUUUUCCUUCCAACCAAUGAUCAAUAUUUCUCUUUGUUGUUAUUCCCUUUGCAUAUGAGACUUUGUCAGCUUGUUUCUUCAAAGGAUUAUAACAUUUUGCUGUAUUUGGAACAUAAUCAACUUUUGGUUUUGAAAGAUAUGAUUCAUGAUAAGAUGUCUUGUUUUGAAACUUUGAAGUUUGAUUUCCAACCUUUUUCUGAAAAAAAUUUCUUGGUAUUGUAGAUUUUAUUUCAUUUGAAACUUUUGAAUUUUUAUUUGAAAACAAAGCACUUUUCUCUUCAAAAAUUUGAGAUUUUGAUUUUUCUUUAAAAACUUUUCUUCUUUUUGAAAAAUUUGUUGAUCUCAUUUUUGAUGGUUCAACAGUUUGCCAAAAAAUUGUUUUUCUCGCUUGACGUUUCGAAAUAUUAUUUUCCUUUGAAAAAUUUUCAACUUGAGCUUUAAAUUCUUUUGAAUUUAAAUUUAUUGCUUUGUUAAUUGUUUUAUCAUCAGUUUUAACACCUUCUUGCUUUGUGACCACAUUUGCAGUUGGGACAACUUCCUUCUUUUCAACUUUUGACUUUUCAAUCCAUACUCUUUUUGGUUUAUGAUGUUGAAAUUUAUAUGUAUUCUUUGUAAGAUUAUUUUCAACUGUACUUUGAUUUGAAAAGAAUCCUUCAUUUGAUGUUUGCAUAUUGUCUUCCUCAACCAUCUUUUUGAAUUCAGGUUUUAUAUUUUCAACAUUACCUGUUGUUACGAAGACUUGAUUUGGGAACACAAUAUCAUUAGUGCAUUUGAAGAUUGGAUAAACAACAAUAUUCGAUUCAAGAAAAUGAGCACCUUUUUCACUAAGAAUCUUCUCAAAUUCUUGUGUAUCCAAAUAGACUUGAUCAACAACCACUCGAGGAAUUUCAAUUUCUUUCGACCUUUGAUUUGACUUUGUAUUUGAAUUUUCUUCCUCAUUGUCACUAUCAUCAGUUUGACUCUCAUGUAUUUCCACAAACUCCAUAUCACAAACUUUCGAAGUUGAGGGUUUAUCAGUUUCAAUUUUCAUUAAUAAAUCGUCACAUUUUUCUUUCCCUUUAAAUGAAUUUGCAACAUUUAUGACAGACAACUGUGAACAAUCUACAUCUUCUAAAUCACUAAUUUCACUAAUAUUAUCAGAAUUAUCUUCAAUAUCAGCAAUAUUAGUUUCACUAUUAGAUGUAGAAUUCUCAGUCUUUUUCAAAAUUCGAAGUUGUUCUGAUUUAGUUAAGGUUUCAUUUACAAUUUUUACUAAAUCAUCAGCAUCAAGAUAAUCUUCGACUUUUGCAAUUCCAUAUCUAAACCUAUCAUCUGGGACUUUGUUAAAAUCAGAAAUUUCUUUUUCACAAUCAUAUGAAAUACUAUCAACCUUAGCUCUAUCAUAAGCUAAAAAAGGUAGUAAUUUUCUAUGUUGUUCCUUACUUAUUUCACAUGAAUGAUGUAACUCAGUUAAUUUUCCAUACAAUCUUUUUGCUAAAUUACAAAAAAUAUUUCUUUGAGCUAACAACAGGUUUAUUUCUUUUGCUAAUUUUUCUCUAUCCUCCAUGAUAUUUGAAACUUGCAGUUCUAAGUAAUCAAUCCUAGUGACUUUUGAAUCCAUCAUUUUUCUCGUCUCUAGUAAUUGAUCACUUAACUUUUUCGCUUCAUUGCUAGCAGACACAAUGAUUGAAUCAAACUAAGUAACAGUUUCAUCAAAAUAUACUAGCUCAGAAUUAUAUGCAGAAACUGGAAUGUUAAAAGAUUCAAGAAUGUUACGUACCUUGGUAGUCAUGGGCGACUUGUCAGUAGACUUCGAAACGAAGCAUUGCCCACACACUUCGUCAGUCUGUUCAUCAUCUGAAUCCUCUUCCAUUUUUGCAUACAUGGCUCCAUGAGUUGGAUUUUUCAUCUCUUCAUCAUCUGAACCCGAAAACCAUAUUUGAUAUGUUCCAUCUGAUUUAUUUUCUCCAUGAGCCACCAAUGACAAAUUCUUCGCUUUCUUCUUUACUUCUUCCAGUUUCUCAGUGUAGUAUGCUUCAUCCUUUGUUUUAUUUUUCUUUUCCUCUUUCUUCCUCAACAAACAAUCUACUGCCAAAUGAUUUGCUCCAUAGCAAUAAUGGCAAUUAAUUCCUGUAUCACCUUUCAAUAACAUCUUCAUUUGCUCCAUCUCAUUCUUCGAAUCUGUCUUCAUUUCUUUCUUCUUUUCAUCCAGUUUGUUUUUGUUUUCAAAACUACCCUUCGAAUCUGAUGACUUCUUUGGAUUAAAAGGUUUCUUAAAAAAUUUCUUUACUCUAUUGUUUGAGUAAAAAGCAACAGCCUCAUCAUCAGAAUUCAUCAAAAAACCUUCUUCUUCAUCAAACUUCAAUUUUUCACUUUCUCUUUCUGAAACCUUCGAAACUAGAGCCAAAGGACCACCAAGACUUGCUAUAGCUUCUUCAGCUAUUUCAUUAACUUCAUUUUCAUGAGAUUUCAAUUGAUUGUACAAGUCAUUCAAAGUCGAAGUAUCAAAACUCUGUUGAUUUUUCACCAUCAUGCUCACACUUCUCCACUCCUUUCGAAGUCCCAUUACAAAUAUCAAAUUGUACUCCAUU